AAACCAGCACCUCAAGUGGUCAGGAUGAUUAUUGGGCCUAAAGCAUCCGUAGCCGGCUCAGUAAGUUUUCGGUUAAAUCUGUACGCUCAACGUACAGGCUGCUGGGAAUACUGCAGAGCUAGGGAGUGGGAGAGGUAGACGGUACUCGGGAGGAAGUGGUAAAAUGCUUUGAUCUCUCGAUGACCACCUGUGGCGAAGGCGGUCUACCAGAACACGUCCGACGGUGAGGGAUGAAAGCUGGGGGAGCAAACCGGAUUAGAAACCCCGGUAGUCC
This 274-nucleotide ribosomal RNA is filed under the name uncultured bacterium. RNAcentral describes it as "partial 16S ribosomal RNA". It matches the Rfam family "Archaeal small subunit ribosomal RNA", at positions 473 to 747 of the family's 1478-position model. The record is from RNAcentral.